CUUGGGGGAAUGUAUAGCAAUUGCUAUUUGCACUAAUGUUAUUAGUGUAAAAUUAACUACGUUGAAUAAAAUUCUGGAUAGAAUUAUGAUAAUGACAUUAUCUGUUCAUAAGUCUUGACCAAAUUACGUGCCAGCAGUCGCGGUAAUACGUAGAAGACAAGUGUUAUUCAUCUUUAAUAGGUUUAAAGCGUACUUAGACAGUAAAUAAAGCCUCCAAAAGGGACUAGUUUUCUAGAGUUUUAUAUGAAGGGGUUUUAAAGUACUACUGGUGUAGAGAUGAAAUUCCGUUAUACCUUAAAUGGCACAGGUUAAGGCGAAAGCAUCCUCUUAUGUAAAAACUGACGUUGAAGGACGAAGGCUUUGUGUCUCGAACAGGAUUAGAUACCCUAGUAGUCUAAGCAGAAAAUGAUGAAUGUCAUAGAUUAGAUUUAAUUUGAUCUAUAAAUGAAAGUGUAAGCAUUCCACCUCAAGAGUAAUUUGGCAACAUUGGAACUGAAAUCAUUAGACCGUUUCUGAAACCAGUAGUGAUGUAUGUUGUUUAAUUUGAUAACCCGCAAAAAACCUUACCACGAUUUGAAUAGAUAUAUUUUAUCAUACAAGCGUUGCACGGCUGUCUUCAGUUAAUGUCGUAAGACUUUGGUUAGUUCCUUUAAAUUAACGUAAACCCUUACUUUAUUUUUAUAUAAAGUAGUUCACCGCUAUAUUGGAUGUGAUAAUAGGGAUCAAGACAAGUCAUC
This 737-nucleotide ribosomal RNA is filed under the name Ovealmbornia reginae. Its description in RNAcentral is "SSU rRNA". It matches the Rfam family "Bacterial small subunit ribosomal RNA", at positions 352 to 1194 of the family's 1533-position model. The record is from RNAcentral. Lineage: Eukaryota; Fungi; Ascomycota; Lecanoromycetes; Teloschistales; Teloschistaceae.